AUCCGGGAGGGCGUACGGCUGACUGCAGCUCCCUGAGGGUAGGGCGCAGCGGGCCCGGCUCCCACGCCACAUGCGACAGGACGAGAGGGAAUGGCCUCACGGGAGGCUCGGAUUUCCCAGCUGGAUCGAAUAAAUGGUAUCUAAAAAUCAGAGAAAUUCUUCUGGAUUGUCCAGAGAUCUGACCUCAGUUUGCAACUGGUUUGUGCUUUAACACCAAACAUGUUCUAAAUGAAGACUGAAACCAUUUGUUUCAUUUGAUAGCUGUUUAAAGCAGAUGCAAAAUUAAAUAUUUAAUGCAACA
Parus major (Great Tit) is the source of this 301-nucleotide long non-coding RNA. RefSeq lists it as uncharacterized. The transcript has 2 exons. The record is from RefSeq and is a predicted model, not a curated record. Lineage: Eukaryota; Metazoa; Chordata; Aves; Passeriformes; Paridae.